GAGCUGCCCAGGGCUGUGGGCAGCACCUGCCUGAGGCUGCUGGCCCCCGGGACACAGCAUCUUGGCAAGGGAGUACUUGGCUUGUGACAAGGAGGAUGACGAGGAGCAUGAGGAAUAUGCUCUGUCUUUUUGGAGACUCAAUUGAGUGGAGAAUGAGAAAAUGUUCCUGUUUGUGCCUGGCCCUGUUGGAACCCUGCGUGGCUCCAUCAAGCUCCAGCAUCCUGGGGUACUGAGCUGCCCAGGUGAGUGCUUUUUGAUGAAGGUGCUUGAGAUUUUUCUUCUUUUACUAGAGCAUGGUGUCAGCAGUGCUUUUCAUUUUACUUCGUAUCUUCUUUGCACUAUUUCUGUUUUGACAGACAAACCUACAGCGUUUGGUGACGGCACCGCACAUGAGCUGGCAGAUGGCCCCAUAAAGCUCUUUGGUAACAGCCCGAGACAAAACCUCUUCCUUAGAAGGUAUUUUUUCUGCACUUUGAAAGCAAGAGAACCUGGUCCAAAGACAAGCACAUUUGCAGAGGUGACAAAGCCAUCAGUACGAGCGCAUUCAUUCUGCGUCUGGACUUCGAAGCAUCCGCACAGCGAUGAGGGCCCUAUCUGGAAGAGCUGUGUGUUACUUUUUAAGGGAAUGAGCAAACGUACAACCUCAUUAACAUGAGUUACUGUUGUUAAAUAGCCAGGAGAUAUGAAAAGAAGAAGCAGGUUGGCAGGGCCUUGUGGUUCGCUUGCCAAAUGAGUAUGGAAUUGAAGAGGUUGCCAUGAAAAGGAAACUUCUUGCACAGUGAUUUACAGUGUGAGUGCCUGAGCAUAAACCAGAAAUACUUUAGGGGUUAGGAAAUACUGUGAUUUAAUAUGGAUUUCUGUGAUGAUAAAGUAAAUUCUUCCUUUUUUAAUAACAUCUUCUGUAAAGCUUCUUUUUAAAGAGGUCAGUCCACCAGAUAUACAGCAGAUAUGGGAUAUGGAGAACUCGGCUUUCUAAAAGCCACUGCAGAUGUAGUCCCUAGUCCUGGUAUCUGUGGCUAAUCUCACAAGUAUUCACACAGACUCUGCCCAAGAUAUAAGAUUUACAAUAUAAACCAUAAUACAAAACAGCCUCUUUAUCACCAUCUGCUGCAGUCUGAGGUUUACCCCAAGAAAUAAGAACGGUUACGGUGCUUUGCUCUCAACUGAUUUUGUGGAAAGCAGAAAACCCAGACUCCCCUGGUCUUCAGGUCCAGCGUAUUUCACCGUGAAGCUCCUACUCCUUCGUUAGAGAAUCCCAGAGCACAAGGAGCAAGAAGGAAAUCUCCUGUCAUUUAUGGGACGUAGCUGCAGGGCAAGCACGUUCCCUCUGGCGACGAGGCUCUCCUGUGCGAGGUGUUCAUCCCGACGGUUCUGUUCCAAGGAACUCUUCCUGCAUAUAAAUUAGCUUAACAUGGAACCAGUUUUGGCAAUAACUCUAAUUCAGUAAUCCAUACACCAAAGAAUUAAACAAAUGAAGGGAUUUUAAGUAUUAGAUUUGAUUGAAUAUUAAUGUGAUACUUCUUUAUAAUACAAACUAGCUGCUAAAGAAUUCUCUUUAAAGACCAUCUUUGAGUUCAGCCAAGAUAAAGUGCAGUGUGUGCCAUUUUGUAAUGGGAGAUAACCACUCCUAACAGGGUGUAUUUUGUGUUUGUACA
Molecule: long non-coding RNA, 1655 nt
Filed under: Calidris pugnax (ruff)
Lineage: Eukaryota; Metazoa; Chordata; Aves; Charadriiformes; Scolopacidae
Description: lncRNA (ENSCPUG00000002696.1)
Source: RNAcentral